RNAcentral lists this ribosomal RNA (253 nucleotides) under uncultured bacterium. RNAcentral describes it as "partial 16S ribosomal RNA". It matches the Rfam family "Bacterial small subunit ribosomal RNA", at positions 524 to 776 of the family's 1533-position model. The record is from RNAcentral.
UACGUAGGGUGCGAGCGUUAAUCGGAAUUACUGGGCGUAAAGUGUGCGCAGGCGGCAGAGCAAGUCGAGUGUGAAAGCCCCGGGCUUAACUUGGGAAUUGCGCUCGAAACUACUUUGCUGGAGUGUGGCAGAGGAAGGUGGAAUUCCACGUGUAGCGGCGAAAUGCGCAGAUAUCAGGAGGAACACCGAUGGCGAAGGCAGGUCUCUGGGCAUUAACUGACGCUGAGGAGCGAAAGCAUGGGGAGCGAACAGG